Cucurbita maxima (winter squash) is the source of this 272-nucleotide long non-coding RNA. RefSeq lists it as uncharacterized. The record is from RefSeq and is a predicted model, not a curated record. The transcript has 3 exons. NCBI's taxonomy places the organism in Eukaryota, Viridiplantae, Streptophyta, Magnoliopsida, Cucurbitales, Cucurbitaceae.
GAGUUUGUGAGGCUUCCAGACCAUGUAAAGACAGAGGAGCUGCUAUUCAAUAUGUAGCAGUAGGAGGAAUUUAAAGAUGAUGCAACCUGCCGAGGGAGAAAAAAGAUGGGGAAAGGUAUAGGGUGAGCUGACCUCGGCAGCUGCAGUCGCCUUCUUUCGGUCAUCGAGCGAGGGUCGUCUCCUUUUCUAGCUGAAGCAAACAUUCUCACAAAUAUCACAUGAGAAGAACCUGAAAAGGAGAUAAUAUAUUACCGAAAAAGCUUAGUUGGAUG